GCUGCUGGCAUGCUUGACUGCACGGGUCAUUCCUCCCUGCUUCUGAGGGUCCCCAAGCCCCCAGACCAGCCAGGCUCGGGCUGGUCCCCCUUUGCUUGCUGAGGUGCUCCUUCCUUCGUCCAGGCCCGAUGAGGUGUCUGUCUGCCUGGGAAACCAGCCAAGGAGACCCGGUCCCCCACAGUCGGGCCGGGGAAUGGGAAGGAGCCAGGGUGCCGCACGCAGGGGCCUCAGAGAGCGAGGAGGACGCCCCUUCUUAGAGAUCGCUCCGACCUGAAGGAGAGGCUCCUGGCAACCAACACUCAAUUUUCUGGUUCUCUGAAUUCAACUGCUCUAGGUACUUCAGAGUCUCCUUCCCGGAAAAUUAAACAAACCACCAGAAGAUUGCUUGGUGAGCACGGAAUGAGAACAAAAGGACACAAGAAAUCU
Molecule: long non-coding RNA, 426 nt
Organism: Callorhinus ursinus (northern fur seal)
Lineage: Eukaryota; Metazoa; Chordata; Mammalia; Carnivora; Otariidae
Source: RefSeq, a predicted model, not a curated record